Molecule: ribosomal RNA, 494 nt
Filed under: uncultured bacterium
Lineage: Bacteria
Description: partial 16S ribosomal RNA
Rfam family: Bacterial small subunit ribosomal RNA
Source: RNAcentral
GACGAACGCUGGCGGCGGGCUUAACACAUGCAAGUCGAACGGUGAAGCGCCUUCCUUUUUGGUGGGGGUGGAUGAGUGGCGAACGGGUGAGUAACACGUGAGUAACCUGCCCCCUUCUUCUGGAUAACCGCAUGAAAGUGUGGCUAAUACGGGGUAUUCUGGGUCUGUCGCAUGAUGGGUCUGGGGAAGGUAUUUGUUCGGUGGGGGAUGGGCUCGCGGCCUAUCAGCUUGUUGGUGGGGUGAUGGCCUACCAAGGCGGUGACGGGUAGCCGGCCUGAGAGGGUGGACGGUCACACUGGGACUGAGACACGGCCCAGACUCCUACGGGAGGCAGCAGUGGGGAAUAUUGCACAAUGGGCGCAAGCCUGAUGCAGCGACGCCGCGUGAGGGAUGGAGGCCUUCGGGUUGUGAACCUCUUUCGCCAGUGAAGCAGGCCUGCCUCGUUUGUGGGUGGGUUGACGGUAGCUGGAGAAGAAGCGCCGGCUAACUACGUG